CACUGCUAAACAGUGGCAAAUCCAGGGCCAGAAGUCCUAUCUCCAUCCUAGUCAGUGCUCUUUUCUCUAUUCCAUGUUGCUUCUGUGUGAUGCAGGAGCAAGAGGAUGGAGCAGAGACAGAGCGGAGAAAAUGAGGGCACACAGCAAGUAAGGAGCAAAAGUCAGGACUCAAACAAUGUCUCUUAUCUCCAGUCCAGCUUUCUCAUGGACCCUGCUGCUGAAGCUGGACCCCUCCACUGUCUUUCCCUAUGAAGACAGGGACCAGCACUUACCACCACCACCUACGAGCCACCAGCUGCUCCUUCCUGAGAAGAUGGAACAGACUCAAAAAUUAACUAACUUGUCCAAUCUCAUACAGCCAGAAAAGUGCAGAGCAGGAAGUAAAAUCCAUGAAGUCCAACUAGAAGCCAGUUCAGCCGACUCCCGCAGAGUCCCCUUGCCACCCUGCCUAUACUGCCGGCCUUCUUCUGAUUAUGCUUGGAUUAGAUGUCCCUACAGGCAUCGUUGUUAACAACCGGAUAAUUCUCCCUGGCUUAUAUUUCUAGGCUGUCAUUUUCCAAGAGGCUUUUAGACAUGAAAGCUAAUGGGAUUACCCCAUCCAUCUAUUGUUCUGAGCCAAGCCUUCUCACCUAAGCAAGCACUUUUCUGGUGGAUGUUGAAUCUCUUUCUUCCUAUAUUUGAAUUCCUUCAAAUUGGCUGGGCUUCUGGUAAGCAUGACAACACUAGCAACCUGAUGUCGGGGAGGGCUGCUGGAAGCCACCUUGGAUAAUGGUGAAGAAGGUGAAACCACGUGUCCACCUCCACACUAGCCUCUGAGCUUGAGAUGUUCACCAGAAGCCUCACUGUUCAACCUUGCCUCUUAAUUUGUGAAAUAAUACAUGCACACAGAUCCACUCAGCCUUACACACCCCUGCUCUGCCACUCAGUACAGACAUGCUGCCUGAAGUUCCUGACUUCCUUGGCACCUUUCCAUAGUGGUACCUUUCCAUCCUUCCUGGUUAAGCAAAUUUGGGAAAGAAUCAUCUCAGUUGCCAGUCUGGUUUAUAAUUAUCCCAACAGGCCUCACUUUCCAUUUAUGAACUUGGCAAAAGAAAUCACCAAGGAAAAACCUGCCCUACUAAUGACUCAGCUGACGUCACUCAUCAUUGCCUUACUGCUUUAAACACAUUCACCUGAUAAGCCUAUGGUGACUAAUAAAUUCAAAGAACUUAUACCCA
Long non-coding RNA from Equus caballus (horse), 1217 nucleotides. The record is from Ensembl. NCBI's taxonomy places the organism in Eukaryota, Metazoa, Chordata, Mammalia, Perissodactyla, Equidae.